RNAcentral lists this microRNA (20 nucleotides) under Callithrix jacchus (white-tufted-ear marmoset). RNAcentral's name for it is "cja-miR-1282". The record is from miRBase by way of RNAcentral. Lineage: Eukaryota; Metazoa; Chordata; Mammalia; Primates; Cebidae. RNAcentral also lists the same sequence under 5 other names.
UCGUUUGCCUUUUUCUGCUU